CCUACGGGGGGCAGCAGUGAGGAAUAUUGGUCAAUGGCCGUAAGGCUGAACCAGCCAAGUAGCGUGAGGGAAGACUGCCCUAUGGGUUGUAACCCUCUUUUAUUCGGAGAUAAAGGUUUCCACGUGUGGAUGUUUGCAUGUACCGCCUGAAUCAGGACCGGCUAAUUCCGUGCCAGCAGCCGCGGUAAUACGGAAGGUCCGGGCGUUAUCCGGAUUUAUUGGGUUUAAAGGGGGCGUAGUCUGGGCUUUAAGCUUGCCGGGAAAGUUUGUGGCUCAACCAUGAGAGUGCGGUGGGAACUGGAAGCCUUGAGUGCGCGGAAGGCAGGCGGAAUUCGUGGUGUAGCGGUGAAAUGCUUAGAUAUCACGAAGAACCCCGAUUGCGAAGGCAGCCUGCCGCAGCGUAACUGACGCUGAAGCUCGAAAGCGUGGGUAUCGAACAGGAUUAGAUACCCUAGUAGUC
RNAcentral lists this ribosomal RNA (460 nucleotides) under uncultured bacterium. Its description in RNAcentral is "partial 16S ribosomal RNA". It matches the Rfam family "Bacterial small subunit ribosomal RNA", at positions 338 to 795 of the family's 1533-position model. The record is from RNAcentral.